RNAcentral lists this ribosomal RNA (492 nucleotides) under uncultured bacterium. RNAcentral describes it as "partial 16S ribosomal RNA". It matches the Rfam family "Bacterial small subunit ribosomal RNA", at positions 29 to 507 of the family's 1533-position model. The record is from RNAcentral.
AGUGAACGCUGGCGGUAGGCCUAACACAUGCAAGUCGAACGGCAGCACAGUAAGAGCUUGCUCUUACGGGUGGCGAGUGGCGGACGGGUGAGGAAUACAUCGGAAUCUACUUUUUCGUGGGGGAUAACGUAGGGAAACUUACGCUAAUACCGCAUACGACCUACGGGUGAAAGCAGGGGAUCUUCGGACCUUGCGCGAUUGAAUGAGCCGAUGUCGGAUUAGCUAGUUGGCGGGGUAAAGGCCCACCAAGGCGACGAUCCGUAGCUGGUCUGAGAGGAUGAUCAGCCACACUGGAACUGAGACACGGUCCAGACUCCUACGGGAGGCAGCAGUUGGGAAUAUUGGGCAAUGGGCGCAAGCCUGAUCCAGCCAUACCGCGUGGGUGAAGAAGGCCUUCGGGUUGUAAAGCCCUUUUGUUGGGGAAGAAAAGCCGCAAGUUUAAACCCCGCUGUUCUGACGGUACCCAAAGAAUAAGCACCGGCUAACUUCGUG